GUCCCUGACCCAGCUGAAGCUCUUCCCCAGGCACAUGAGGAGGAGGAUGGUCUGGGGCCACACCCAGGGACAAGAGGUGGGGGUGGGGGAGGGUUCCAUGUCUCCUCUCUGCAGACAGACCAGAUAGACAGCAGUGCCACCGAGUGUUAUCAUCAGAGCUGGAAACAUGAAGGCUCUGCUGUGACCCUGACACCAGCAGCAUAUGUCCCUGUCCUGCCCGGAGGUUACCCAGCAGAUGGCUAUGAUGAUGCUGGGGAGGUUUCUUACCCUGGGGAGGAUCCUGUCCCUGGGCAGAGGGACUGGGAAGUGCCCAGGACACCAGAGGAAGGAGAUGGGCCCAGGGAUGCAGCCACAGGUGAGAGGGCAAUGCAGCACUGCCACUUCCUAGGUGCCAACCCCAGGCCUAGGAGAAUCCC
RNAcentral lists this long non-coding RNA (416 nucleotides) under Anas platyrhynchos platyrhynchos (common mallard). Its description in RNAcentral is "lncRNA (ENSAPLG00000025118.1)". The record is from RNAcentral. Lineage: Eukaryota; Metazoa; Chordata; Aves; Anseriformes; Anatidae.